AGUGAACGCUGGCGGCGUGCUUAACACAUGCAAGUCGAACGAGAACGGAUUAUAGCUUGCUAUAAUUGUCAGCUAAGUGGCGCACGGGUGAGUAAUGUAUAGGUAGUAUGCCUCUUACUAAGGGAUAACAAAUGGAAACGUUUGCUAAUACCUUAUACUCCUUAUUAACAUAAGUUAAUAAGGGAAAGAUUUAUUGGUAAGAGAUUAGCCUGUAUUGUAUCAGUUAGUUGGUGGGGUAAUGGCUUACCAAGACUAUGACACAUAACUGGUUUGAGAGGAUGAUCAGUCACACUGGAACUGAGACACGGUCCAGACUCCUACGGGAGGCAGCAGUGGGGAAUAUUGCACAAUGGACGAAAGUCUGAUGCAGCAACGCCGCGUGGAGGAUGACACAUUUCGGUGCGUAAACUCCUUUUAUAUGAGAAGAUAAUGACGGUACUAUAUGAAUAAGCACCGGCUAACUCCGUGCCAGCCGCCGCUGUAA
This 484-nucleotide ribosomal RNA is filed under the name uncultured bacterium. Its description in RNAcentral is "partial 16S ribosomal RNA". It matches the Rfam family "Bacterial small subunit ribosomal RNA", at positions 29 to 523 of the family's 1533-position model. The record is from RNAcentral.